CCCUAACGAAUCUGUCAACAGCACAUCUUUAUCAAUGUGAUUUCUCUCAGCAAGACAUUAACCACCUGAAGGAACGUCGGUAAACAUGACGAGGACUCUGGGAUUUUUGAACGAGAGAAAGGAGCAAACUGAACGGACUACAAAUAUGGAUACUCUUGCAGUUUCAAGUGUGUUCUGGGGGGCUUUCACUGACUCACUCUCCCACAAAAACCAUCUUUAUUUUCUGGUCUUCAAAGGAGGAAGUGGACACUGAAUGAUGAUCAUACAACGAGGAAUCAAACUUAUGAAACAAACUGGUGUGAACACAAAUGAUCAGAAAUCUUUAAAACCAGGACUGCAGUUAAAGCAGCUCGGCUGAAGUGAAGUGAAGCAGAUGGGAUCACAAAAAAAGUGAAAAAAGACUUUAAAUAUCAUGGAUGAGACGAAGACACAAAGUUACAUCAAACAUCAAGAUGAAGACACAAUGAAAGUGUUUCCCAGUCACUUCUGUCAUGGGAACAUUCAACAACGUCUGGAUUUGUGGCCACAUUUUCUUCAUGACCAUGUAUCUCCAAUCCCUUUGAAACCACAGAAGAUUAUGUGUUUUAUAAAACGUACAGCUCAACAUCUAAGGUUCAACCAAUAAAACCUGAGGAGUCAUCUACUCCAGUGAGUAUGAUUAUUUUGUAUCUUCCUUUAUGGAUGCAAACACACACACACACACACACACACACACACACACACACACACACACAUACACACACACACACACACACACUCUCACAUUAUAAACAACUGUAUUUGAUACUUAAUCAUGAAACAUUAUUAAAACAGUAUAAAGAUAUCUGUCCUCUCAUUAUCAUAUGAAUCAUGUUUGAU
Labrus mixtus (cuckoo wrasse) is the source of this 858-nucleotide long non-coding RNA. RefSeq lists it as uncharacterized. The transcript is spliced from 3 exons. The record is from RefSeq and is a predicted model, not a curated record. Lineage: Eukaryota; Metazoa; Chordata; Actinopteri; Labriformes; Labridae.